GUGCAGCAGUCGAGAAAACUUCACACUGUGCGAAAGCACGAUGAGGGAAUCCCAAGUGCUUGCACGUAAGUGUAAGCUGUUUCUCUGUCUAAAACGCAGAGAGAGUAAGGGCUGGGUAAGACGGGUGCCAGCCGCCGCGGUAAUACCUGCAGCUCAAGUGGUGACCGUUAUUAUUGGGCCUAAAACGUCCGUAGCCGGUUUAAUAAAUGCCUGGGUAAAUUGUGUAGCUUAACUAUACGAAUUCCGGGUAGACUGUUAAACUUGAGACCGGGAGAAGUUAGAGGUACUCCUGGGGUAGAGGUGAAAAUUCUGUAAUCCUAGGGGGACCACCAGUGGCGAAGGCGUCUAACUAGAACGGGUCUGACGGUGAGGGACGAAGCCCUGGGGCGCAAACGGGAUUAGAUACCCGUGUAGU
Molecule: ribosomal RNA, 415 nt
Filed under: uncultured microorganism
Description: bacterial SSU rRNA
Rfam family: Archaeal small subunit ribosomal RNA
Source: RNAcentral